GAACGAGAGCGACCGGUGCUUGCACUGGUCAAUCUAGUGGCGAACGGGUGAGUAACACGUGGGUAACCUGCCCAUCAGAGGGGGAUAACAUCCGGAAACGGAUGCUAAAACCGCAUAGGUCUUCGAGCCGCAUGGCUUGAAGAGGAAAAGAGGCGCAAGCUUCUGCUGAUGGAUGGACCCGCGGUGCAUUAGCUAGUUGGUGAGGUAACGGCUCACCAAGGCCGUGAUGCAUAGCCGACCUGAGAGGGUGAUCGGCCACAUUGGGACUGAGACACGGCCCAAACUCCUACGGGAGGCAGCAGUAGGGAAUCUUCCGCAAUGGACGCAAGUCUGACGGAGCAACGCCGCGUGAGUGAAGAAGGUUUUCGGAUCGUAAAACUCUGUUGUUAGAGAAGAACAA
RNAcentral lists this ribosomal RNA (400 nucleotides) under Granulicatella adiacens. RNAcentral's name for it is "bacterial SSU rRNA". It matches the Rfam family "Bacterial small subunit ribosomal RNA", at positions 64 to 452 of the family's 1533-position model. The record is from RNAcentral. Lineage: Bacteria; Bacillati; Bacillota; Bacilli; Lactobacillales; Carnobacteriaceae.